RNAcentral lists this transfer RNA (77 nucleotides) under Actinobacteria bacterium IMCC26207. RNAcentral describes it as "tRNA-Met". It matches the Rfam family "tRNA". Rfam says of the family: Transfer RNA (tRNA) molecules are approximately 80 nucleotides in length. The record is from RNAcentral. Lineage: Bacteria; Bacillati; Actinomycetota; Actinomycetes.
GGGCCGGUAGCUCAGUCGGUUAGAGCAGGCGACUCAUAAUCGCUCGGUCGUGGGUUCGAUCCCCACCCGGCCCACAA